Long non-coding RNA from Octopus sinensis (East Asian common octopus), 652 nucleotides. RefSeq lists it as uncharacterized. The record is from RefSeq and is a predicted model, not a curated record. The transcript has 4 exons. NCBI's taxonomy places the organism in Eukaryota, Metazoa, Mollusca, Cephalopoda, Octopoda, Octopodidae.
CGGUUCAUUCAAAGUGAUGAAUUGUUUGACGAAACCGUCGGUUCAGUCCAGCUGUGUGAAUACCUUCUAAUAUAACCCUGGGUUAACCAAAGCCUCAUGAGUGGACACAGUAGACAGAAACUGAAAGUCUCCCAUCAUAAUUUCGUGUUUGUGUCCAUUAGAAGGUGGCCAUGCUGGGGCACUGCCUUGAAGAAUUUUAGCCGAAUAGAUUGACCCCAGAACUUUUUUUUCUCUUUCAGACACACAGACAGCACCCAGAGGGCGAUUCCAGUCUGAUACAGAAAACAAAAAGGCAUGCUGUGUCUGAAACUCUUGCUGAUAACCUCAGCUUCUUGAACCUGGCUAAGUCCUUUGCAUUCAAGGUGAAGAAAAAAAUUGGAGGCCACCGACAGGGAAAUAUCUUCCAUAACCAAGAGAGAAAGAAACAUCCUCCACGAUGGGACAUCAUCAGGAUUACUGAGUUAGUUUGUCUGUCAAGUCCAGGACAGCACCAAUGUCAACCUGAGUAGCUUGAUGAGGGCAACCACUCAGGGUCACAGUGUUCUCAAUCAGAUGAGGAGUGUGAGGACAUAAUUGCAAUUGUAAAUGAAAAAUCCAAUGUAGCAGAUUCUUGGCUUUUAUUAGAGAGCAAUUAAAAAUUAAAAUAUUGUUA